This 419-nucleotide ribosomal RNA is filed under the name uncultured bacterium. Its description in RNAcentral is "bacterial SSU rRNA". It matches the Rfam family "Bacterial small subunit ribosomal RNA", at positions 362 to 773 of the family's 1533-position model. The record is from RNAcentral.
UUUUGCGCAAUGGGCUAACGCCUGACGCAGCAACGCCGCGUGGAGGAUGAAGGUCUUUGGAUUGUAAACUCCUGUCAGCAGGGAAAAAGCGACUUAGCCUAAUACGCUAGGGAGUUGAUUGUACCUGCAGAGGAAGCCCCGGCUAACUCUGUGCCAGCAGCCGCGGUAAGACGGAGGGGGCAAGCGUUGUCCGGAAUCACUGGGCGUAAAGGGCGCGUAGGCGGCUUAUCAAGUCAGGUGUGAAAGCCUUGGGCUUAACCCAAGAACUGCGCUUGAUACUGAUAGGCUUGAGGAUGAUAGAGGAAAGCGGAAUUCCUAGUGUAGAGGUGAAAUUCGUAGAUAUUAGGAAGAACACCAGAGGCGAAGGCGGCUUUCUGGAUCAUAUCUGACGCUGAGGCGCGAAAGCGUGGGGAGCAAAC